AACGUACGCUGGCGGCACGCCUAACACAUGCAAGUCGAACGAAGUAGCAAUACUUAGUGGCAGACGGGUGAGUAACAUGUAGGUAUCUGCCCUUUGGCCUGGAAUAACACGAGGAAACUUGUGCUAAUACCGGAUAAGUCUUUACGGAGAAAGCUUUAUGCACCAUUGGAUGAGCCUGCACUUGAUUAGUUUGUUGGUGGGGUAAUGGCCUACCAAGACUGUGAUCAAUAGCUGAUUUGAGAGGAUGAUCAGCCACAUUGGGACUGAGACACGGCCCAAACUCCUACGGGGAGGCAGCAGUGGGGGAAUCUUGCACAAUGGAGGAAACUCUGAUGCAGCGAUGCCGCGUGAGUGAAGAAGGCCCUUGGGUUGUAAAGCUCUUUCGUCGGGGAAGAAAAUGACUGUACCCGAAUAAGAAGGUCCGGCUAACUUCGUGCCAGCAGCCGCGGUAAUU
Molecule: ribosomal RNA, 454 nt
Filed under: uncultured bacterium
Lineage: Bacteria
Description: bacterial SSU rRNA
Rfam family: Bacterial small subunit ribosomal RNA
Source: RNAcentral